CGUCUAUAUACGUAUAGCAUAUCAAUAAGCGGAGGAAAAGAAAGCUAACAAGGAUUCCCUUAGUAACGGCGAGUGAAGCGGGAAGAGCUCAAAUUUGAAAUCUUCAAGGUUCUACCUUGACGAAUUGUAGUUUAAAGAAGUGUUUUCUGUUGAAGUUUUGGUAAAAGUUCUUUGGAAUAGGACAUCAUAGAGGGUGAGAAUCCCGUAUUUGACCAUUAUUUUCAGCUGUGUGAUACACUUUCAAAGAGUCGGAUUGUUUGGGAAUGCAGUCCAAAAUGGGUGGUAAAUUUCAUCUAAAGCUAAAUAUUGGCGAGAGACCGAUAGCGAACAAGUACCGUGAGGGAAAGAUGAAAAGAACUUUGAAAAGAGAGUUAAACAGUACGUGAAAUUGUCAAAAGGGAAGCGUUUGACACCAGUGUUGUUUUUCCGAAAAUCAAUUAAGAGUGGCUUGAUUUUGUGUUGUAUUGACCUUAUCAGCUUUCUUCACUCUUUUUCGAGUCUUUCCUAAUGCACUUUUCGGUUAACAAGUCAACAUCAAUUUCUUUUGUUGUAAAAGGGUAUUUGGAAGGUGGCUUUCUUUUCGGAGAAAGUGUUUAUAGCCUUAUACCUCUACAAUCGGAGAGAUUGAGGUCUGCAGCGUAGAUCCUUCGGGGCUAGAUACACUUGUGCUAAGUUAUAGCUUUUCAUAGACAACUUGUUGACUAUGUUUAGUCAUGUAGCUUACCCGCUUGUGCUAUUUUACCUACGCUUAGGAUGUUGAGUCAUCACACAUCUCU
This 776-nucleotide ribosomal RNA is filed under the name uncultured Neocallimastigales. RNAcentral describes it as "partial large subunit ribosomal RNA". It matches the Rfam family "Eukaryotic large subunit ribosomal RNA", at positions 26 to 614 of the family's 3401-position model. The record is from RNAcentral. Lineage: Eukaryota; Fungi; Neocallimastigomycota; Neocallimastigomycetes; Neocallimastigales.